Molecule: long non-coding RNA, 898 nt
Filed under: Erythranthe guttata (spotted monkey flower)
Lineage: Eukaryota; Viridiplantae; Streptophyta; Magnoliopsida; Lamiales; Phrymaceae
Description: long non-coding RNA (EGUT_LNC001504)
Source: RNAcentral
UACUCUAACACCCUCAACAUUGCACCAAAUUAUAAGCUGCCCAACACGAACUCCAAUGUCUGGAAAUGACUCGCCAAUGUCAGCACAUAGGUCAAAGUAACAGUACGUGUCGGGGUCAAUGUUCUGAAACACAAAUAUUCCAUUUUUGUAAUGUAACAUCAUGGUAUACAACCCACCUCCCAUGGAUGUUGUUCUGCAAUAAUUCAAGAUAUCAUCAAUUUCAUAAUUCAAUAUAACAUCAAUUUCAGCAGAAUAGAAAAACAAGGAAAAAACCCUAAACCAUAAUUUUAUCGUAAGGAAAUUAAAAGAAUAACUGCAACAAAUUUAAAGUUUCAAAACAAAUGCCUAGAAAUUAGAGUUUUCACAUGCCCGAAUGAAAAUCGUAAAAAAACAUAAGAUAUAUAGAAUCUAGAGUUUGGCAAAGAAUCUUAUCAAUUUGGUGUUCUUAUUCUAUACAUUCCCACUUCUGAAAUUUAUUUUAAAAUUUGAAACAUUUAUUAUUCCUGCUUUUGUUUUAUUCCAAUUUUUCUUUUAUCAUUUUUUUCCUUCAAAUUAAGCCUCUCAUCAAAUCCAACUUUGUGCUCCGAUAUUAAAAAUAUCACUCACUUCAUACCUUCUCUAUUAGUCAAAACUAAGAACACAAUGCCCAAAUUAAAAAUAUAUUUGUUUGCAAAGAAAAAAGUAUUUUAAAGACAGUGAAAGAAAGAAAAUAGAAAAAAAAAAUCGGGUUCAAAUGUUUGAAAAUCGAAAAUAAACACAACGAACUCACCUCAAAACCACGGGAUGAAGAAGCCACAUGCAAGGCGAUCAGAAAUGCUCACUUUCCGGGACGCCAAGCAAUGGAAGAGCGGCGAAAAGAGAGCAGCAAGAAAUGAAAACCCUAAUUUCUUACAGAACG